Molecule: long non-coding RNA, 671 nt
Organism: Dunckerocampus dactyliophorus (ringed pipefish)
Lineage: Eukaryota; Metazoa; Chordata; Actinopteri; Syngnathiformes; Syngnathidae
Exons: 3
Source: RefSeq, a predicted model, not a curated record
GCCGCAUACAACGCGCACCAGAGCAACUGUACACAUUAAUCUACUUUACUCUAUAUUCUAUUUAAGUCACCUUGAUUUUUUGGCGUCUCGUGUGUGAGGAGGCUGCAGGAGGGCGGACGGAACCAUGCAUCAGAAGGCCCAGUCAAGACACAUUCUGGACAUCGACCCCCCUCAGCAGAUGGACAAAAAGCGCCUGAAGUGCCUUCCUGCAUCACUUGAAUGUUGGUUCAAUACCCUGAGAGAUGUUAAGAGAAAGCUGAAGGGCCGAGGUCCCGACCUGUCACCUGAAUCACAAACCAGUCCAGCAAAAAGGGGCAAAAUCCGAGGGGGAUUGGUUUGGUCUUCUUGCACAUUUCAAAUCUCCAACUUAACUCCUCACUAUUCUUUUUUCCUUCAAUAAUGCCAGUGGGAUUCUAUACUGCGCCAUAUCUGCCGUGGGAAACAUUCCCAAGUGAGGCAAGGCUUGCUUGAGAGCCCAGCGGCAAAACACAGCAGCGUAAAACAAGGACGGAAGAUAGAAAAUCAUCUGCUAUAUGAUUAUAUUAUUAUUUAUUUUGUGUAUUUGACAAUCACAAUGUGGUCUAUAUGCCUGCUUGAAAGGAAUAAAAGGUUGUUUCAAGCACAUUUUUAGAUGCAGCUGUAUUGAAAUGAUGUACCAACAUUGAUCUAAA